GCUAGCAGCUAGCUCUCUGCAACUCUCACAUGGUCGCCCACUGAAGCUAAGCAGGGCUGUGCCCGGUCAGUACCUGGAUGGGAGACCACAUGGGAAAGCUAGGUUGCUGCCGGAA
Molecule: ribosomal RNA, 115 nt
Filed under: Danio rerio (zebrafish)
Lineage: Eukaryota; Metazoa; Chordata; Actinopteri; Cypriniformes; Danionidae
Source: RNAcentral